GACGAGGAGGACAAGCGUUAUUCGGUGUGACUAGGCGUAAAGACCCAUCAGGCGGUUAAAAAGAAGUAAGUCAAAACUCGAAACCAAAUUCGAGAAACGAAACAACAAAAUAACUUGAGUAAUCAAAAAGAGAAGGGAAUUUCCAAAGUAGUGAUAAAAUACGUUGAGAUUGGAAGGAACACCAAAGGCGAAGGCACUUCUCUAAUGACUACUGACGCUGAAGGGGGAAAGUCUGGGGAGCAAAUGGG
RNAcentral lists this ribosomal RNA (248 nucleotides) under uncultured bacterium. RNAcentral's name for it is "partial 16S ribosomal RNA". It matches the Rfam family "Bacterial small subunit ribosomal RNA", at positions 524 to 776 of the family's 1533-position model. The record is from RNAcentral.